RNAcentral lists this transfer RNA (73 nucleotides) under Urocitellus parryii (Arctic ground squirrel). RNAcentral's name for it is "Spermophilus parryii (Arctic ground squirrel) tRNA". It matches the Rfam family "tRNA". From Rfam's summary of the family: Transfer RNA (tRNA) molecules are approximately 80 nucleotides in length. Their secondary structure includes four short double-helical elements and three loops (D, anti-codon, and T loops). RNAcentral also lists the same sequence under 1 other name. The record is from Rfam by way of RNAcentral. Lineage: Eukaryota; Metazoa; Chordata; Mammalia; Rodentia; Sciuridae.
AGGGAUAUGGCUCAGUUGGUAGAGUGCUUGCCUUGCAUGCAUAAGGCCCUGGGUUCAAUCCCCAGCACCACAA